UGCCCCAUGGCUGAGUUGGUUACAGCGUCCGACUGUUAUCCAUGAAGAAGACUGACAUCGGAAGGUCGUGAGUUCGAGCCUCACUGGGGCAG
Lactifluus volemus is the source of this 92-nucleotide non-coding RNA. The record is from the annotation of a GenBank genome assembly. Lineage: Eukaryota; Fungi; Basidiomycota; Agaricomycetes; Russulales; Russulaceae.